Non-coding RNA from Paramuricea clavata, 374 nucleotides. NCBI's taxonomy places the organism in Eukaryota, Metazoa, Cnidaria, Anthozoa, Malacalcyonacea, Plexauridae. The record is from the annotation of a GenBank genome assembly.
UGGACUUAUCCUUACAAAUGACCUCAAUAUGUCAACAAAUGAGAUAAAGGCUCUAGGUGAUCCUACAACUGGAAAGUCUGCUGUUAGUAAGGAUUGGGUAGUUGGAAUGCUAAAUAGGCCUGUAUCUGGACUUAAUAUUGCUAGUGAUAUCGAUAUGAAGGACCAUGAGAUUAAGAAUCUUAAGGAUCCCUCUGAGGACCAGUCUGCUGUCACAAAAAAGUGGGCUGUUGAUAAUAACUUUAGACUAAAAGGUGGAAUUAUGCAAGCAGAUGUGUCCAUGGGAGGUUGGAGAUUGUUUGAUCUUAUUGAGCCUAAAAUUGAUAGUGAGGCUACAUCAAAAAAGUGGGUUGAAGAUAAAAUAUCUACACUUCUUG